This 279-nucleotide unclassified non-coding RNA is filed under the name plant metagenome. Its description in RNAcentral is "partial contains small subunit ribosomal RNA, internal transcribed spacer 1, and 5.8S ribosomal RNA". The record is from RNAcentral.
UUUCCGUAGGUGAACCUGCGGAAGGAUCAUUCAUAAUAAGUGAAUUAUGGAACUUUUUUAAAUCAAUAUACACCUUGUGGGCAAUGUCAGGGGUGAUUUUUCUCUCGAGAGAAUCAGCCCCAAACAGCAACUAUAGAUCAACUCUUUGUCUGAAAAAUAUUAUGAAUAAAACAAUUAAACAUACAACUAACAACAACGGAAAUCGUGGCUCUCGCAUCGAUGAAGAACGCAGACGCUCGAAAGAGCACACGUCUGAGCUCGAGUCACAUCGUCCGAGCC